This 502-nucleotide ribosomal RNA is filed under the name uncultured bacterium. RNAcentral describes it as "bacterial SSU rRNA". It matches the Rfam family "Bacterial small subunit ribosomal RNA", at positions 9 to 518 of the family's 1533-position model. The record is from RNAcentral.
GGUUUCGAUUCUGGCUCAGGAUGAACGCUGGCGGCGUGCUUAACACAUGCAAGUCGAACGAAGCAUUUCUAACUCUUCGGAGGAGGAAAUGACUGAGUGGCGGACGGGUGAGUAACGCGUGGGUAACCUGCCUUAUACAGGGGGAUAACAGUUAGAAAUGACUGCUAAUACCGCAUAACCCGCUAGUACCGCAUGGUACAGACGGAAAAGAUUUAUCGGUAUAAGAUGGACCCGCGUCUGAUUAGCUAGUUGGUGAGGUAAUGGCUCACCAAGGCGACGAUCAGUAGCCGGCUUGAGAGAGUGAACGGCCACAUUGGGACUGAGACACGGCCCAAACUCCUACGGGAGGCAGCAGUGGGGAAUAUUGCACAAUGGGGGAAACCCUGAAUGCAGCAACGCCGCGUGAAGGAAGAAGUAUUUCGGUAUGUAAACUUCUAUCAGCAGGAAAGAAAAUGACGGUACCUGACUAAGAAGCCCCGGCUAACUACGUGCCAGCCGCCGC